UGAUGCAGCCAUGCCGCGUGUGUGAAGAAGGCCUUCGGGUUGUAAAGCACUUUCAGUUGUGAGGAAAAGUUAGUAGUUAAUACCUGCUAGCCGUGACGUUAACAACAGAAGAAGCACCGGCUAACUCCGUGCCAGCAGCCGCGGUAAUACGGAGGGUGCGAGCGUUAAUCGGAAUUACUGGGCGUAAAGCGCACGCAGGCGGUUUGUUAAGCUAGAUGUGAAAGCCCCGGGCUCAACCUGGGAUGGUCAUUUAGAACUGGCAGACUAGAGUCUUGGAGAGGGGAGUGGAAUUCCAGGUGUAGCGGUGAAAUGCGUAGAUAUCUGGAGGAACAUCAGUGGCGAAGGCGACUCCCUGGCCAAAGACUGACGCUCAUGUGCGAAAGUGUGGGUAGCGAACAGGAUUAGAUACCCUGGUAGUCCACACCGUAAACGCUGUCUACUAGCUGUGUGUGCCUUUAAGGCGUGCGUAGCGAAGCUAACGCGCUAAGUAGACCGCCUGGGGAGUACGGCCGCAAGGUUAAAACUCAAAUGA
Molecule: ribosomal RNA, 532 nt
Filed under: Alteromonas sp.
Lineage: Bacteria; Pseudomonadati; Pseudomonadota; Gammaproteobacteria; Alteromonadales; Alteromonadaceae
Description: bacterial SSU rRNA
Rfam family: Bacterial small subunit ribosomal RNA
Source: RNAcentral